This 1039-nucleotide unclassified non-coding RNA is filed under the name Hevea brasiliensis (rubber tree). Lineage: Eukaryota; Viridiplantae; Streptophyta; Magnoliopsida; Malpighiales; Euphorbiaceae. The record is from RNAcentral.
GAACAAGCAUCCACAAAAGACACCCAUCAUUAAAUAUACCAAUCAAAAGUCAGCAAUGUCUACCUUCAAGCAACAGCUAAUGGACCACAAAUUCUAACUCAUUAAGGAAUCGAAAAAAACAGAGAAAGAUACAAAGAAACAGAGGAGACAAAUGGUUGAUGAAUUAUUUGCCUGUAGUAACAGGAUAGCCAAUCCCAUGCCUUCUAGUUGGGAAUACAACAAACAACAAGCUACAGAUGAGCCCAAUCCCAAUUGGAACAAUAUCCAAAACCUCUUGAGUCUCAUGUUUAGGCAUAGGAUAGAAGCAACUCACCGCAUUCUUGUCCCUCAAAGCCACAGCAACAAACACCAGCACAGAUAAAACAGCAUGAACCCCAUCAAUGAAUCUAAUCUUGUACUUGCUCAAAUCUUUCAGGUCGAAUAAACUUGCAGGAUCUGGACAAUCAAACAGAAAAAUCCCUUUAAAAGUUGCAAAACCAUAGUAGACUUGCCCAUCUGAUGACUUCACACUAUCUGUAAAUGAAGCAAGAAAGCAAGAAAUUGCAAGAAGCGCAAAAAGAAGGAGGGACAAAGGGCGUGUAGCAGAGUCACAGGCACCAUUAUUGGUAAAGAUUGGGGUUAGAAGCUGAAAGGCUAAAAGGGUGCCUGUGGGAAGGAGAUUGGCUAGGUUUGCUGUGCCUGUUAGGGUUUGUGAGAUUGCCCUUUGUGAUAGAGAAGGAGAUGCUGGUGGAGAUUUGGGGGUUUCAGGUUCAUGGUCUCCCUUGGUGCUGGUGGAGCUUGAACUUGCUGUGGUUACCUCAGGUAUGGAUGCUUGCUUGGCGGAUGUAGUUCCUGUUCUUGCUCUGAGAGACAUAAUUAAUCUUGGGGAUUUGCAAGAUUAUGAUUUUUUUUUGGUUGGUGAAUACAAGAGACUGAAAGCUAUUAUAUAAAAUGUCAAUGGGAUUAGGUUUUACUUGUCUUGAAAGGCUGUUGUUGCGAUUUCCAUUGACUUAACUGUCCUAAACAUUUACUUUCAACUAGGGCGGUUGCCCAAUCGGAG